This 22-nucleotide microRNA is filed under the name Ophiophagus hannah (king cobra). Its description in RNAcentral is "oha-miR-15b-5p". Its record names the gene oha-miR-15b-5p. The record is from miRBase by way of RNAcentral. RNAcentral also lists the same sequence under 1 other name. Lineage: Eukaryota; Metazoa; Chordata; Lepidosauria; Squamata; Elapidae.
UAGCAGCACGACAUGGUUUGUA